RNAcentral lists this ribosomal RNA (414 nucleotides) under uncultured eukaryote. Its description in RNAcentral is "partial 18S ribosomal RNA". The stretch from base 269 to 414 matches the Rfam family "Eukaryotic small subunit ribosomal RNA", at positions 743 to 882 of the family's 1831-position model. The record is from RNAcentral.
ACUCGGGCAUCGUCCGUCGAGCGUACUCCUGUCUGUCCACGGUAGAAUAUGGUCUGUCUGGUCAGAAUGGGGGCGGCAUCAUGCACACAUGGCAAAUGCAGGAGGCUAAAGCUCGCCUGUCGGAGGUGGUCAAAACUGGCCGAGAGCGAAGGACCGCAGGACAUUACGGUGCACGGGAAUUGGUUGUUAUAUCUCCACUAAUAAGCGGAGAGGGGUAAAACCUUCAAAGUAAGUUAUGUGGAUCAAGGUAUGAUGAUUAAUUGGAGUUCUAGUUCAUUUACUUUGAGAAAAUUAGAGUGUUUAAAGCAGCCUCUUGGGGCACUGAAUACAUUAGCAUGGGAUAAUAAAAUAGGAUCUUCACAAUAUAUUUUAUUGGUUUAAUUGGAUAUGAAGAUAAUGAUUAAUAGGACAGUU